AAUACAAUGCAUUGUGGGCCUUCUCGCCUUAAGCAGUAACCAUCGCCUUUUAUUUAACCUGGUUAAUGUUUACACUCGCAUAUUGGAGGAUUUACACACUGUAAAAGUCCUUAACAUUAUAAUACACACAAGUAUUUGCAGUUGGCUUAAAAACACGCAGUAAAUCUAACGUUUGUUAAUAACUGUUACUUACUACCGCCAGUAAAUGCAUCGUUUUUACUUGUCUCUACCUUAAUAGUCAGUCAAGGGCAAAAUCAAGUUUAAGCAAUUUGAUUGGCUGUGAUUGACUGGGGCGAGAACGGUACUGGAGGUGUACGUACCCGCUGCUACCUACUGGCAGUCAGCCGGUGGCCGUUCAUGGACGAAAUUGGAUGUAUACUGCUGGACUGUUAUUUUAUAGCUAACCAGUUGGAGCUACGAACUUUUUCCUGGACGUUUUGCCUGUUUUUUGGAGCCACAGAACCAGACCACGCUCAACGUUUUGCUUGGAUUUUGGAGCUGCAGACCACGCUCGUGAACCGGAAAGGACUGUUAAACCGGAGUUGGAGCCGUUUUAUUGCCGUUCGUCCAAAACUGGUAAACCAUGGUGGGGUGAGUAACCCUUUCCUCGUGGUGGUUCUGGAGCCGCCAUCUUUGGAACUGCUAUCCCGAGGACCAAUGCUAACUGAGUCCCUUCAGGCCUGCAACGUUUGUAAAGCUAACAGACUGCUUUACUAAUUCAAGAGACUGAAUAGUGUGGUUGGUGCAUUCAGUUUGCCAGCCUUGUUUGCUUAUUUUUUAUGUAUAUAAUCUGUUUAAAGGGUUGUUUUGUACAAUUCUGAUACAGCGCGGUUGCACUAAGUGUGCCAAAUACCCUCUUACUGAUUUAUUGUGGUUGUAAUGUGCUGAAAGUUAACUGUGCUCUGUUAAUGUGCAUUGCCCUUGGUUUAUUACUGACCAGUACGGUUGACUAAACUGGUAAAUCUUCAACUUUACCAUUUUUCCUUCCUUAUUUUAGUAUAAGGUUAAGGUUGCACUGCAUUUAGAUCUUACUUGUAGUUAUCUUAGCCUUGCUAUUAUGCUCAGUUAUGUACUCUAUUUACAACACAUGCUGUUGCCAAUUAAGAUACUCAUUUCUCAGUGUGAAGUAUUUGAUAGAGUGUAGGUCAGAGAAUCUGGGCGCUGUUCAUAAGGGAAACGUGAACAGUGGUUACAUAUAACAUAGCAAUAAGAUAAGUAUACUUGAGGAGCCCAAGUAUGCUUUUGAAGUUCUGCAGAAAAUUGUUCUGGAAUUGGACGGAAACAAACUAUCCUACAAAGCACAAGUUCUCAAAACACAACUCUCCCGCUGAGAAACUUGCUACAUGGCUUUCCAAACUUGAGGAAAGCUUCAUAAGACCAAUCAGUCCUUAAAGACUGCAGUCGAAAACAAGAUUUAAAUUGUUACAAUUCUCAAAAUUGAAGAGCAAAUUUACUGAUACUUUUUUAAAAUUUUGUUAGGAAUUUGAUUUCUGUGACCAACACAGCCCAGUUUUGGCUGGAAUAACAAAACGUUAAAAGUUUAAAAAUUAAGUUGAACUAACACAUUUGCUUUAAAUUGGAGUAACAUAAUUACAUAAUGCUGUAAUAAAGCAAAGUAAUCAGGUGGAAAUCUUUUCCAUUAUUUUUUUUUUAUUUUAAUCCAAAGAGUUAUUUUUUUGAGUUUACAGUCGUAACAGAUGCAUGGGCAAGGCCUUCUUCUUCUUCUUUAGAUUUUAAUGGCAGCUUGUAUCCAUUACUGUUGCACUAUUGCCAUGUGUUGGAUCCUAAUAUUUAUUCCUCAAAUUCUCCUAAUGAGCCCGGUAUUUUAAAAAAAAAAACUAAAUAUCUUCCCUUUUCCAUUACGAUUUAACUGAGCAACCAAAUUCUCAAAUGUCAAUUCCCUAUUAAAACCUAUUUCCAUAUUCGGUAAUCUUCUUUGAUUCAUUUAUUUCCUCCAACUAAUAAAAACAUGUUCCGUCGUUUCUACAGUAUUGCACUAAUUACAUAAACCAGUAAGAUGUUUCCCCGUCUUCUAAAGAGUGGCUAUGGGUGGGGCUGGCACAGCAUUUCCUGUUUAAAUUGAUUUAUAAAGUCACUGAUCGCAUCACUGGAUACAACCAAAAUGGAGGGUUUUCUUUUGCCUAAUGAAGUUCCUGCACAACACCAAGUCCAGUCAAAUCGAAAGUAGUGAGAGCUGAUCCGCAGCUCAAAUCAGAUCUUGAAUUUUCUGCUCCAGUUCUGACCAGUAUUGAUACUUUGACAGGCACGAUAGAGAAGAAAUGCAUCUAAAAGUUGCAUGACACCAGCUGUCGAGGAUUGGACUUGAACACCCACGAUGGAUGAGCUGUGCCGCCAACCAGCAGCAGGAUUUUUCUAACAAGAGCUGGAAAUCAUUUCCAAUUGGAAAAGCAAUAAGUUGAGGUGUGUCCCUUCCCUCCCUCCCUGCAAGGUUGAUAUUGCAAAUAAGAAUUUACUCUGAACAGCUCACAUGGCUAAAUAUAAAAGUACAUUUCAUUUUAAUCGGUGUAAUUUCCUUUCAAAGCAAAAUGACAAAUUAGACGCAACACUGACAUCAGUCCGGCACCGCUUGCUGCUUUCCCGCACUGUCGUCAUGGUUUCUAAAAGCUCACAGCCGCGUUGGAUAGUCUCCACUUGUGAUUUAUAAAUGGUACAAGGCAGCUAAUGAAGAGCCAUUUAAGUUACAAGUUUAUCUUUUUUUCCCUGCAACCUGGUUUCAAUCCACACCACAGUCUUAAGAUUUCGAUCACGAGCCUCGGCCCUCUGAUGUAUCAUAAUAUCUCCGUUUAGGGUUUGCAUCUGGAAUUAGGGCGGGCGGCGAUGAUAUCCCUUUUAAUUGGUUUUCACCUCAACAAGUCAAGCUUCGCCUCACUGCGCAUGUGGACCAACUGCAGCUGCUGACAGUGAGACAUAUUCGUCCUGACGGAGAGGCGCGCCUCUCCGCUAAUGCAUAUUUAAUUUUGUGUGCCACAGCUAUACGCUGGAAUAUUUCAAUUACUUGCGUUAGACUUUUCCUGCGAGGAACAGCCCUCCGUUUAAUUUGAUUGUGUAUAAUUACUGUAAAAAUGAAUUUUAAUUGUUAUGGCCCGUCUUUAAAAUAGAUUGGUACUUAUAUCCUUGCUACCAGUGAAGGUGUCUUCUUUUAUACCAGGGAUUAAAAAAAAAGAGAGACUCCAAUCAGAGUAUAUUUGGCUAAAUUAAGAGAAUGAAGUCAGACUUGGUAACCGUGUGAGAGCAGGUCAUGAAGACACAGAGAGAUCUUAUUAACCCAUUUUUACAGAGGAAGAGCCAAACCUUGGAAAACUCAUCACAGAGGGGGCGCCGCUUGCGUUGAGGCAAUUUGAAUGUGAAAACAAGACCGCUAACCUUUUUUGUUACGUCGGCAUCAGGCGGCGCUUCCAGAUAAAUCCUAACGAGCUACAUUGUUCCUCCAUCCAGACUUUGUUACGGGGAUAUUAUUGGGCGUCACAGUAGCCGUAUUAUCUGCCACGUUUUUUACAGCUGGGUGCCUGUUCUUGCUCUCAAAGAACACCGGCACCUGGGUUUUUUGUUGUUCACCGUGAACCCCCCCUCCCAAAAAAAAAAAA
Molecule: long non-coding RNA, 3605 nt
Organism: Poecilia latipinna (sailfin molly)
Lineage: Eukaryota; Metazoa; Chordata; Actinopteri; Cyprinodontiformes; Poeciliidae
Exons: 2
Source: RefSeq, a predicted model, not a curated record